RNAcentral lists this ribosomal RNA (1958 nucleotides) under human gut metagenome. RNAcentral's name for it is "bacterial LSU rRNA". It matches the Rfam family "Bacterial large subunit ribosomal RNA", at positions 3 to 1991 of the family's 2925-position model. The record is from RNAcentral.
UCAAGCUAAUAAGAGCAUAAGGUGAAUGCCUUGGCAUCAAGAACCGAUGAAGGACGUAAAAAGCUGCGAUAAGCUUCGGGGAGGCGCACAUAGCCAACGAUCCGGAGAUUUCCGAAUGGGGAAACCUAGCUGAGAAAAGCUCAGUUGGCGUACAGUGAAUCAAUAGCUGUGCGUAGGGAACGCUCUGAACUGAAACAUCUAAGUAGGAGCAGGAAGAGAAAGAAACAUCGAUUUCCUAAGUAGUGGCGAACGAACGGGAAACAGGCCAAACCGAGAUACAUGUAUUUCGGGGUUGUGGACUACAUCAUGUGAUGGAGGUAAGGUAGUAGAAUUGUUUUGGGAAAGCAAGCCAAAGAAAGUGAAAGCCUUGUAUACGAAACCUGAAGACCCACAGUAGUAUCCAGAGUACAUCGGGACACGUGAAACCCUGAUGGAAGCCGGAGGGACCACCCUCCAAGCCUAAAUAUUCCUUGAUGACCGAUAGCGAAGAAGUACUGUGAAGGAAAGGUGAAAAGAACCCCGGGAGGGGAGUGAAAGAGAACCUGAAACCUUAUGUUUACAAACAGUCGAAGUUUUUCGGAACGACGGCGUACUUUUUGUAGAACGGUCCGGCGAGUUGCAGUGACAUGCGAGGUUAAGGAGUACAGCUCCGGAGCCGAAGGGAAACCAAGUCUUAACUGGGCGUCUAGUAUGUUAAUGCAGACCCGAAACCGGGUGACCUAUCCAUGGGCAGGUUGAAGUUACCGUAAAAGGUAAUGGAGGACCGAACUCACAUCUGUUGAAAAAGGUGGAGAUGACCUGUGGAUAGCGGAGAAAUUCCAAUCGAACUCGGAGAUAGCUGGUUCUCCUCGAAAUAGCUUUAGGGCUAGCCUUGAGGUAAAGUCUAAUGGAGGUAAAGCACUGAUUGGACGCGGGUCCCCAAAAGGAUACCAACUUCUAUCAAACUCAGAAUGCCAUAUAGAUAUACUCAGGAGUCAGACUAUGUGAGAUAAGUUUCAUAGUCAAAAGGGAAAGAGCCCAGACCGACAGCUAAGGUCCCAAAGUGUGUGUUAAGUGGAAAAGGAUGUUAGGUUUCUAAGACAACUAGGAUGUUGGCUCAGAAGCAGCCACUCAUUUAAAGAGUGCGUAACAGCUCACUAGUCGAGAGGUCUAGCGCCGAAAAUGUCCGGGGCUAAAACACACCACCGAAGCUACGGAAUUACCUAUGGUAAUUGGUAGAGGAGCAUUCUGUAAGGAUGAAGCACAAUUGAAAGAGAGUGUGGACGAAACAGAAGAGAGAAUGCCGGAAUGAGUAGCGAGAUAUAUGUGAGAAUCAUAUAGGUCGAAUGUCUAAGGUUUCCUGGGUAAAGCUGAUCUGCUCAGGGUAAGUCGGGACCUAAGGUGAGGGCGAGAGCCGUAAUCGAUGGACAACAGGUAGAAAUUCCUGUACUACGUAUAAUCAGAACUGUGGGGACGCAGGAGGAUAGGAAAACCGGAGAAUGGAAAAAUCCGGCUAAGUACAAAGGUGUGAGUGAUAGGCAAAUCCGUCACUAUUAGCUGAAGUACGAAUGGGAGCGAAGAAAAGUAGCGAAGUUUCUGAAUCCACACUGUCAAGAAAAGCCGCUAUUGCGUUAUACGUACCCGUACCGCAAACCGACACAGGUAGACGAGGAGAAAAUCCACAGACCGACGGGAGAAGUGUUGUUAAGGAACUCGGCAAAAUGACCCCGUAACUUAGGGAUAAGGGGAGCCAACGCAAGUUGGUCACAGAAAAGAGGCUCAAGCGACUGUUUAGCAAAAACAUAGGUCUAUGCGAAACCGUAAGGUGAUGUAUAUGGGCUGACACCUGCCCGGUGCUGGAAGGUCAAAAGGAGAGGUUAGCGUAAGCGAAGCUUUGAAUUCAAGCCCCAGUAAACGGCGGCCGUAACUAUAACGGUCCUAAGGUAGCGAAAUUCCUUGUCAGGUAAGUUCUGACCCGC